GAUGAACGCUGGCGGCGUGCCUAAUACAUGCAAGUCGAGCGAAGUUUUUCUGGUGCUUGCACCGGAAAAACUUAGCGGCGAACGGGUGAGUAACACGUAAAGAACCUGCCUCAUAGACUGGGACAACUAUUGGAAACGAUAGCUAAUACCGGAUAAUAGCAUUAACUGCAUGGUUGAUGUUUAAAAGUUGGUUUUGCUAACACUAUGAGAUGGCUUUGCGGUGCAUUAGCUAGUUGGUGGGGUAAAGGCCUACCAAGGCGACGAUGCAUAGCCGACCUGAGAGGGUGAUCGGCCACCCUGGGACUGAGACACGGCCCAGACUCCUACGGGAGGCAGCAGUAGGGAAUCUUCCGCAAUGGGCGAAAGCCUGACGGAGCAACGCCGCGUGAGUGAAGAAGGAUUUCGGUUCGUAAAGCUCUGUUGUUAGGGAAGAAUGAUUGUGUAGUAACUAUACACAGUAGAGACGGUACCUAACCAGAAAGCCACGGCUAACUACGUG
RNAcentral lists this ribosomal RNA (499 nucleotides) under uncultured bacterium. Its description in RNAcentral is "partial 16S ribosomal RNA". It matches the Rfam family "Bacterial small subunit ribosomal RNA", at positions 28 to 507 of the family's 1533-position model. The record is from RNAcentral.